RNAcentral lists this unclassified non-coding RNA (506 nucleotides) under Leucozoma telfordii. RNAcentral's name for it is "Coronidium telfordii partial external transcribed spacer". The record is from RNAcentral. Lineage: Eukaryota; Viridiplantae; Streptophyta; Magnoliopsida; Asterales; Asteraceae.
GCCAUUUUGGCUAGUGACGGCCUUCCUUGCAUCUGAGCUUGGUUGGUGGCUAUUAGUUGUGUGGUUUUGGGGAUGUCUACCGUAAAGGUGCAUGAGUGGUGUUUGGUUUGUUACGGGUGGUUGGCUCUUUGCUUGCGCAAGAACUUCCACCUGGCAUUCCUCUUCAUUUUUUUUUCAAUGCUUAGAUUGCACUGAAUGCACGUUGGGUUUCUUGUGUUGCAUGCCUAAUUGAUGGUAUCGCGUGACGAAUCGAUUUAUUUUCGUCUUUUGUCGCACAUGCGAUGCGAGACGAACCUUAAAGCACAGCCUUUGUGAUCCACUCUUUUGAUGCACUCGCAUUGAUUUAUUUGGCUCGUUGAGUGUUUGCUUGGUCUCAUGGAUAUGGAACCUUGUGUGGGCAUGUGAUCUUUUACUAGAUCAUUGUUUGCCCAAGCUAAGCUCUUUCAAAUACGAUUUCCUAUCAUGUUCUAACGUGGUAGGCUAUAUCGAAUAUGAAUGCUACCUGG